GGCAAAACGUUUCGGGAAUUUGGGGAUCAUUGAAAGUUGGAACUUUGAAACUCCAAUUUCGUUGCUCCUCCCACGGAUCAUCCUCCAUCAUCUGUGUUGUCGUCGCCGGUGGCUGUGCGUUGUCACCAUCCGUCCGUCUACAGUUGCUGGCGUGUAAGUCGUGGGUUCACGGGUUUUCGAUUUCCUUGUUCUUCUUCGCCGUUCUCUCUUUCUCUCGACUAUAUUCAGAUCCUGGUAGUUUGGGAAGGCUGAUGUUUUAUUUAUCCCUUCUUCCUCCGUCAUCAUCGCUGCUUGUGAAGCUUUGGUUGCUGUUGAUUCAUUUAUAGCAUUAAAAAACAUCAUCCUCACGAUCACCCACAAAUAAGCUGACAGGUAGAUUAAGGGCCUAUGUAUGAAUUGAAGUUCUCCUCAGUUUGAGUGUUGAGGUUGCUAUGGAGUCAGUGUUCACGGCAGAUUCCCCUUCUUAUUGGGAUUUCAUUGUUGUCCUCCUUCUCCGCCCUCUCCUUGCCUUUGGAUUUGUUCUCUUCUUAAUUUCUCUGGGCUGGUUGCUGGCAUGGAAAUUAGUCCUGGUACACGUUCCUUUGGUGCAAGAGAUUUUUGGUCUCAGGAAAAAACCUGUCAAAUCUAAACCACCAACUCGUCGUCUAUCUAAAUUUUAUAGUACCAUUAAUGCUCAAAAGUCUCAAUAGCUUCGGCAUGGUAAUUUUCCUUUUCUCUUUUCUGUUUUCCUCCACCAUUAGAUUUGCUUACCCACUUGUUACUCAUAGAUGCUAUUGUAUUUUUCAGUUGAUUAGUGAACCUGACAAUUAUUUUGUGUACAGUGUGGUCCCUCUUCUAGAGUCUAUUUAUUAUUUUCAUUUUCCAGCCCCCCCCCCCCCCAAAAUACCUUGGUUUAGAGGAUCAGACAGAGCCAAGAGUUCUACUGGUUUUUGGCUUGUGCUAAGGGACUUGAAAUGGAUCUAGUGCUCGUUUUGUAGUCUAUAUUGUGAUUGGGGCAUCCAACUAUUAACAUUAAUGAUCCCCAUCAAGAUGAAUUCUUAGCAAUAUUUCUAUUAUGAGAUGUCACCAAGACAUAAAUAUCCAGUUCACAAAGGUUUUGGGUGAUAAUAUUGUUAAA
Molecule: long non-coding RNA, 1117 nt
Organism: Neltuma alba
Lineage: Eukaryota; Viridiplantae; Streptophyta; Magnoliopsida; Fabales; Fabaceae
Exons: 3
Source: RefSeq, a predicted model, not a curated record